UACCUCUGAACCAGGUCAUAGAUGAUCUGAUAUUAACAUGUAGACCCUGUCUGAAUCUGUCACAUUUUGCUUCCUCAGAAGGCAAUAUAUCUGAAACAAAGCAAUAAAGAUCUUCAAACUUUUCAACAUACUCUCUUAUUGAGAGGCUUUCCUGAAACAACCUGAAAAAGGCAUCCUGUUUUCCUUUCCUGUAACUAUCUGACAAAUAUUCCUGGCGAAAUUCAUGAAUAAAUUGAUCCCAAGUCAGUCUGACUCCAUGUCUGCGACGGAUGCCAUCGAACCAAGCAUCAGCCUUACCCUGAAGCAAACCAUGUACAUUAUCUACCUUUUCUGGAUCAGUCAACUUCAUUAAUUCAAACACUUUUAGCACUUUCUUUAACCAUUUAUCUGCAAUGUCAACAUCAGAGGAACCCUCAAAAUCAUAAGCUCCCAAACGUCUAGCACGAUCCACUAUCUCCCACGGAUCUUUAGGUUUGGCUGUAACAGCUGCUGUAAC
RNAcentral lists this long non-coding RNA (496 nucleotides) under Manihot esculenta (cassava). Its description in RNAcentral is "long non-coding RNA (MESC_LNC010598)". Lineage: Eukaryota; Viridiplantae; Streptophyta; Magnoliopsida; Malpighiales; Euphorbiaceae. The record is from RNAcentral.